GACGCACGCUGGCGGCGUGCUUAACACAUGCAAGUCGAACGAGUGGCGAACGGGUGCGUAAUACGCGCGUACCCCGCCCUCUUUUUGGGAUAAGCCUUGGUAACGGGGUCUAAUACCGGAUAAAGGGGGAUGGGCUAGGGGCCUAUCAGCUUGUUGGUGGUGUGAUGGCCUACCAAGGCGGUGACGGGUAGCCGGCCGGAGAGGGGGACCGGCUACAUAGGGACUGAGAUACGGCCAAGACUCCUACGGGAGGGAGCAGUGGAGGAUAUUGCAGAAUGGGCGAAAGCCUGAUGCAGAGACGCCGCGUGGGGGAUGAAGGCAUUCGGGUUGUAAACCUCUUUCGCUAUCGAAAGGGUAGGAGGGGAAGAAGCGCCGGCUAACUACGUGCCAGCAGCCGCGGUAAUAC
RNAcentral lists this ribosomal RNA (406 nucleotides) under uncultured bacterium. RNAcentral describes it as "partial 16S ribosomal RNA". It matches the Rfam family "Bacterial small subunit ribosomal RNA", at positions 28 to 526 of the family's 1533-position model. The record is from RNAcentral.